UUCGGGCGGGGAUUAGUGGCGAACGGGUGAGUAACACGUGGGCAAUCUGCCCUGCACUCUGGGACAAGCCCUGGAAACGGGGUCUAAUACCGGAUAUGACCGUCUGCCGCAUGGUGGAUGGUGUAAAGCUCCGGCGGUGCAGGAUGAGCCCGCGGCCUAUCAGCUUGUUGGUGAGGUAGUGGCUCACCAAGGCGACGACGGGUAGCCGGCCUGAGAGGGCGACCGGCCACACUGGGACUGAGACACGGCCCAGACUCCUACGGGAGGCAGCAGUGGGGAAUAUUGCACAAUGGGCGAAAGCCUGAUGCAGCGACGCCGCGUGAGGGAUGACGGCCUUCGGGUUGUAAACCUCUUUCAGCAGGGAAGAAGCGAAAGUGACGGUACCUGCAGAAGAAGCGCCGGCUAACUACGUGCCAGCAGCCGCGGUAAUACGUAGGGCGCAAGCGUUGUCCGGAAUUAUUGGGCGUAAAGAGCUCGUAGGCGGCUUGUCACGUCGGUUGUGAAAGCCCGGGGCUUAACCCCGGGUCUGCAGUCGAUACGGGCAGGCUAGAGUUCGGUAGGGGAGAUCGGAAUUCCUGGUGUAGCGGUGAAAUGCGCAGAUAUCAGGAGGAACACCGGUGGCGAAGGCGGAUCUCUGGCCGAUACUGACGCUGAGGAGCGAAAGCGUGGGAGCGAACAGGAUUAGAUACCUGGUAGUCCACGCCGUAAACGGUGGGCACUAGGUGUGGGCAACAUUCCACGUUGUCCGUGCCGCAGCUAACGCAUUAAGUGCCCCGCCUGGGGAGUACGGCCGCAAGGCUAAAACUCAAAGGAAUGACGGGGGCCCGCACAAGCGGCGGAGCAUGUGGCUUAAUUCGACGCAACGCGAAGAACCUUACCAAGGCUUGACAUACACCGGAAACGUCUGGAGACAGGCGCCCCCUUGUGGUCGGUGUACAGGUGGUGCAUGGCUGUCGUCAGCUCGUGUCGUGAGAUGUUGGGUUAAGUCCCGCAACGAGCGCAACCCUUGUCCCGUGUUGCCAGCAGGCCCUUGUGGUGCUGGGGACUCACGGGAGACCGCCGGGGUCAACUCGGAGGAAGGUGGGGACGACGUCAAGUCAUCAUGCCCCUUAUGUCUUGGGCUGCACACGUGCUACAAUGGCCGGUACAAUGAGCUGCGAUACCGUGAGGUGGAGCGAAUCUCAAAAAGCCGGUCUCAGUUCGGAUUGGGGUCUGCAACUCGACCCCAUGAAGUCGGAGUCGCUAGUAAUCGCAGAUCAGCAUUGCUGCGGUGAAUACGUUCCCGGGCCUUGUACACACCGCCCGUCACGUCACGAAAGUCGGUAACACGCCGAAGCCGGUGGCCCAACCC
RNAcentral lists this ribosomal RNA (1351 nucleotides) under Streptomyces sp. 9SM3. RNAcentral describes it as "16S ribosomal RNA". It matches the Rfam family "Bacterial small subunit ribosomal RNA", at positions 79 to 1441 of the family's 1533-position model. Lineage: Bacteria; Bacillati; Actinomycetota; Actinomycetes; Kitasatosporales; Streptomycetaceae. The record is from RNAcentral.